RNAcentral lists this long non-coding RNA (650 nucleotides) under Mus musculus (house mouse). RNAcentral describes it as "predicted gene 45625". Lineage: Eukaryota; Metazoa; Chordata; Mammalia; Rodentia; Muridae. The record is from RNAcentral.
AAAGGAGGAACGGGUGAACCCAAAAUCCUGGGCUGAAGGACUGCCCACGGGAGUGCUUCUCACAGGGUGACUCACGGACAAGCUUCGGUCUGUUGGUUUUCGGUGGAUUUCUCCUAGCAUGCUGGGAACUGCUCAUCACUCAGCGCCAGCAAGAUCUUUCCUCCUCCAUGUCAUCACCACUGACAGGAAAGGACCAGUCUCACUCAAAUGGAAAGCAUAGCAAUAGGAAACCCACAAGAACUCAUGUCUGUGCCGUGUUGGGCACUCAGGAUUCUAGAGCAUGUCCGAUGACUCUCUCAGCAGUCCGGAGUUAAAUGUGUAUAUUUCAGAACAGUGAGUCUUCUACCACCUUCUGCCUCAGUGAGAAAGAAUGAGAUUUAUGUGGCCCAGUAGGGAGGCACAGUCUGUUCUUAUUGACACAGCAAAGGAGACCAGUUUGUCAAGGUCAUAGUCAUUUUUGUUUUGUUUAUUAAUACCUUGAGGUUAGGUUGCUAAGAGAAAGUCCACUGAAAAUCAUUCAGGAGACCAUGAGCAACCACCACAACAAAAAUGGGCCCUAAAAAAACAAAAACAAAAAACUUCAUUUAUUUUGUUCGUUUGUUUGGGUUUGGGUUUGGGUUUGGUUUGGUUUGUUUUUUUUUUUUUUUUCC